This 405-nucleotide ribosomal RNA is filed under the name Triticum aestivum (bread wheat). RNAcentral's name for it is "partial small subunit ribosomal RNA". Lineage: Eukaryota; Viridiplantae; Streptophyta; Magnoliopsida; Poales; Poaceae. The record is from RNAcentral.
AUGCCUUCUGUAGUGAAGAACAAGCCAGUUGUUCUACCUAACACUAGUGUGGCUUCACUUAGAAGUGAGAAGCCUGACAAUAUACCUGCUUCUAUGUCAACUUAUCAACCUUCUCAGCCACCAACUGCUAACAUUGCACCUAGUGCAAUCACUGUUGCGGAAUCAAUUGCAUUGGUCACUCCUGGACAGCUUCUGGCAACUAAUUUCUCGACUUCAUCACAGACCAUGCAAAGUACUGUUGUGGCUCCAUCUUAUAAGUAUCCACCAGUGGUUUCAUCCUCUCAGACUGGCUCUACGGCUCCAUCCACUCCAUCUUAUAAGUCUCCUUCUGUGGUUUCAUCCUCUCAGAUUGCCUCUACAGCUCCAUGCGCACAUGCCAAUUCUUCUGCAGGUUCACGCUCGUAG